GGGCUAGCAUGGUGUAGUGGUUUGAUUGUUAGACUAUGACUCUAGAGACCAAGGUUCAAUUCCCUGCUCAUCUA
This 74-nucleotide transfer RNA is filed under the name Phrynosoma platyrhinos (Desert horned lizard). Its description in RNAcentral is "tRNA-OTHER". The record is from RNAcentral. Lineage: Eukaryota; Metazoa; Chordata; Lepidosauria; Squamata; Phrynosomatidae.